GGGGAGACGAAGAGUGGUGGAGGAGGAGGAUGCAAGAAUAUGAGAAGUCUGAUAAAGUUUAUAUUAUAACAAUUAUUAAAUAUAUUAACCGAAAUAAAUGAAAAAUAAGAUAAUUUAAAAUGAAAUUAAAUGAGGUGGUAUGUCCAAGUAAGGUGUUACAUCAUGUUGUAUGAAAAUGUGGUAUACAAAAUGUGGUAAGAAUAACAUUACUCUUUAACCUAAGGUAUAUGCUCACCGCCUUUUUUAAUACAUGACCCGUGUCCAUAGACUUAAUUAUGGUUAACGUUUUACUUUAAUUUAUGUAAUCAUAGUUAUGCUUAUGGACACGUGUUAAUUAUUGAGAAGGUGGUGAACAUACACCUUGGAUUAAAGUGGGAAGCACUCAUUUGAGGAACUCUCUAUAAAAUUUAAACUUCAAUCAUACUCCCUAAAUUAAAGAGUCAUAACUAAUAUAUUUAUUUUUUAAUUUAAAAUUAAUCCAUUUCUAUAUAUAUCAUUAAUUAAAAGUUUAAAACAUACAUAAAACGAAGUAUCAAUAAAUUAUAGGGGGCCACCUGAUACCCACCCACCAAAUACCACGACUACUGCCCUCUUCCCCUCCUAACCUCCAGCCUUAUCUCUCUCUCUCUCUCAAAUGGUAACAUUGGAGAAGGAAAGCGGCUCGACGUCGCUUAUCUUUAUGAAGACUAGGAGGAGAGACUUUGGCAGCGAGUCGAAGCGGUCGUUGUCCGUGGGCAAUGGUUCUGGGUACCCUAAAGAAGGUGAUAUAUGGGCCAAUAGACGCCAUCUUUCUUAUGGGUUUGUUUAUUGGUGUGGGUCUGAUUAAAAUGAAUUAGAUUAGGGAUAGAUGGGACGGUCCCAUGAACAUGUUAUGGGCUAUAGCCCAGGGGACAUUUUUUUUUUUUGUGGACUAAAUUAAUACUCUAGCCUAGGCAAUUAGUCGGCUGACAAGAAGAAAGAACAUAGAGGAAGAAGAAAGAAAGAAAAAGGAACAAUAAUAAAGAGAGAAAGAGAGGAGGAAAAAUAAUUUUUUAAAAAAAAAUAGAGGGGGAGAUGCUAAACAAUUGGAAAGAAAGAGAGAGAGAGAGAACAAAAAAAAGGGGAGAAAAGUGGAAAUAGAAUAAAGAAACGGAUGUGUGCAUUGGGGAUGAGAUAUGUGUUUUUAUUUUAUUUUUACUUCAAUUCCUUCUAAAUAUUUUCUAUACAUGUGUAGUUCUCCUCUGUUUUUUUUCUUCUUUGUUUCCCUUCAAUCCCUUUCAAAAAUUUCAACAAUCUUAUCAAUAAUUCCAAGAUUUUUGUCUGUUUCAAAUGUCAGUAUAAUAAUAAUAAAGUUCUAAAUAUGAUGAAGAAAAUAUAUUGAAAUAAGAGGGCUUAUUAUUAUUAUUUUUGGUAAUAAACAAGGGCUUAUAAUUUACCCCAAAAAAAAAAAAUUUAGUCCACAAAUUUAGCCCAUGCUAUUUUCAAAUUCUGAGUCCGUCCCUUGAAAACUCUGAUUUUGUUUGAAAGAGCGUUUGAAGGUUUUGAAGCAACUUUACAGGUUUUGUUUAAUAUAAUUGAGAGAGAGGGAGAGAGAGAGGACGAAAGGAGGAGGAGGUGGAGGGUACAGGUGGUUUCUGUCAGUCUGGGGUGGAGUGGGCAGCUAUGUGGGGAUGAUUGUUUGGGUUCUUUACUCUGUUUUUUUUUUGUUUUUUUUUGUUUUUUGUUUUUAAGUUGUGUUUUUGUUUUUGUUUUAAAGUAUUAUUGUGUUGAUAAUAACGGCGUCGAUGAAUCUAGGAUAUGCCUUCAAAUUGACAGAUUUAAGAAAUUGGACUCGGUGACCAAAUUUGAUUUCGAGCCAAAUUUCAGUAACAAAAAAUGUAAUUAACUCAAAAAUAAAGGAAAAGUUUUGCUCAAACAACAAUAUAAUCUUCCAAUUCAUCCAUGCACCUCUCUCACUCGAAAGGAGAGAAACCCUAGCCUCUAAAACUCCACAGAGGGUGGAGGAAGAAGCGUUAUUGCCCCUCAUCCCCUCCUCUCUCCUCACUUUUUUCUUUUGAGUUAGUGAAUAAGUCCACUUAGGACGUUUUGAAUAAAAAGCCCCUUGCAGUGAUUUCUUCUAAGCAAUGCUCAGAUUGAAGUUCCCUGUCACCACUUUUAGGCAUUCUCAAACAAAUCCUUCUCCCAAAACACGCUUUAUAAUACUGCUAAUGUUCUCUAAAUUUGGGUCUACAUCAUCUUUGACAGAGGUUGCUUCAAAUCGCCCAAUUAUUUUUUUUUUGUCAAGGUGAGUGUUUUCAUUUAUUGGUUCGCUCUUAUACGCAGGUAGAUUGUUGGAAACCAUGUUUUUCCCAAAUCUAAUACAAAUGCAAUGGUGGGUGUGGCUGUGACGUUGCUUAUUCAGAUGGUGGUGGUAGGGUUCGCUUAGGAGCAUGGGUUGGUUUAAGGUUUCGGUUAUGUUGGGUAUGUGAACUCUGUUUGGACUUAUGGUUAAUUAUGGUGAUGUGAGUUAGUAGUUUUAGUGGGUCUUACCCGAUACGACAAGAAAACUUGAGCUGGACUCACAGAAUUAAUGACAUAGCUCAUCUUGAUUAUUGGCCUUGAAUUUUAUCAUGCCUUUCAAUAUGUUGGGACUAAUAGAAGUUAUGUUAGCUUAAGUAGGAUUAGUAGCUGCUACUUAGUCUAUAA
Molecule: long non-coding RNA, 2664 nt
Filed under: Prunus persica (peach)
Lineage: Eukaryota; Viridiplantae; Streptophyta; Magnoliopsida; Rosales; Rosaceae
Description: long non-coding RNA (PPER_LNC000605)
Source: RNAcentral